RNAcentral lists this transfer RNA (82 nucleotides) under Acidimicrobiia bacterium. RNAcentral describes it as "tRNA-Leu". It matches the Rfam family "tRNA". Rfam says of the family: Transfer RNA (tRNA) molecules are approximately 80 nucleotides in length. The record is from RNAcentral. RNAcentral also lists the same sequence under 1 other name. Lineage: Bacteria; Bacillati; Actinomycetota; Acidimicrobiia.
GCGGACGUGGCGGAACUGGUAGACGCGCCAGGUUUAGGUCCUGGUGCCGAAAGGCAUGGGGGUUCGAGUCCCCCCGUCCGCA